RNAcentral lists this ribosomal RNA (55 nucleotides) under Neltuma chilensis (Chilean mesquite). RNAcentral describes it as "Prosopis chilensis (Chilean mesquite) partial 18S ribosomal RNA". The record is from RNAcentral. Lineage: Eukaryota; Viridiplantae; Streptophyta; Magnoliopsida; Fabales; Fabaceae.
UUGAUGGAGAAGUUGUAACAAGGUUUCCGUUGGUGAACCUGCGGAACGAUCCUUG